This 589-nucleotide ribosomal RNA is filed under the name uncultured bacterium. Its description in RNAcentral is "bacterial SSU rRNA". It matches the Rfam family "Bacterial small subunit ribosomal RNA", at positions 338 to 944 of the family's 1533-position model. The record is from RNAcentral.
CCUACGGGAGGCAGCAGUGGGGAAUCUUGCGCAAUGGGCGAAAGCCUGACGCAGCAACGCCGCGUGCGGGAAGAAGGCUUUCGGGCUGUAAACCGCUUUCAGCAGGAACGAAAAUGACGGUACCUGCAGAAGAAGGAGCGGCCAACUAUGUGCCAGCAGCCGCGGUGAUACAUAGGCUUCAAGCGUUGUCCGGAUUUAUUGGGCGUAAAGAGUUCGUAGGCGGUCAAGUAAGUCGGGUGUGAAAAUUCUGGGCUCAACCCAGAGACGCCACCCGAUACUGCUUAACUUGAGUUCGAUAGGGGAGUGGGGAAUUCCUAGUGUAGCGGUGAAAUGCGCAGAUAUUAGGAGGAACACCGGUGGCGAAGGCGCCACUCUGGAUCGAUACUGACGCUGAGGAACGAAAGCAUGGGUAGCAAACAGGAUUAGAUACCCUGGUAGUCCAUGCCGUAAACGGUGGGCACUAGGUGUGGGUUUCUAUUAACGAAAUCCGCGCCGUCGCUAACGCAUUAAGUGCCCCGCCUGGGGAAUCGGUCGCAAGCUAAAACUCAAANANAUGAGCGNGAGAGUGCGAGACGACGACGAGGAGAGG